GUUCCCCGACAGCACUGGCUAAGAUAAGCUUCUCAACAAACCCUGGAGAUGGGUGCCUUCCCUGCAGGAGGGCAUAUGGCUCUGUGAGCUGCGGAUGACUGUGUAUGUGAGUGAGUGAGUAGAAGUGACACUUACUGGGAAUGCCAGGUACUUGGGUUCUAGUCGCAACUCUAAUAAUAAUUGUGUUGAUGCUUUGGGGAACUCCUGAUGAGCACAGUGGGCAAAAGUGCCCUAAACCCAAUGAGUUGUGUUUGUAUGAAUGAGUAGUUCAUCCUAGGAAACCAAUAACAUGACCACAGCUGGUGAAGACAAUUAAACAGAGGUGUGUCUGGGAUACCUACUUCCAUAAGUUAUGCGCGUACCUCAGUUGACAAAGGAAAUAUGGCUGCAGGAGCUUGGCGUGCUCUCCUGUGAUGAAUUAUGGUAAACCUGGAAGAGAAAAAAGACCUGUGAGACAAAUGAGAAAAGAAUUUGGUGUAGGACUUUAAGAAAAUGAUAAAUAAUUGCCCCAACCUUCUCCCUGGCUUACCCAAGGAUCCGGUGAAUGAUUGUUAGCUGUACAGGGGGGUGUAAUAUGGAGGAUUAUAGGAAGUAACUAAAGAACUGAGUUAGGAUAGUGAAAAGAAAGCCCCAAAGGAGUUUCCAGGGUUAGGAGGAAAGGAGGCUGGUAUUUCUGACUAGUCAUUUUUGUCUUUAAUAGAAGCUACAGGAAUAAACACAAAAGAAAGACACACCAGAAGGAUUCUAGGAUGAGAGGAAGUCAGUGGGAAGAUCAUUUCAAGCGGAUAUUGUGGGAUAAAAAGGGGAUCAUGAAACACUAUAUGUGCUGAAAUAGACAUAUGGUAAGUAGGAAAUGCUUCAGGAAAAGUGAAGAGCCAGUUUGGACAGAGGAACUGUAAGUAUGAACCUAAGUAUGACUUUGAGAGGGAAAAGACAAAUUUAGCCAACCACUAAAUUCUUUUCACUAGUAGCUGUUACUUCAGGAACCAACAGAAUGGCAAAGCCACAGAGUUUUAACAUUGAAGGACACAGUCAUGCUUUCUGCCCUUUGUUCAAGGACACAUGAAAAUGGAUUGGAACAUGGCAAAUCUGAAGGCAGAAAAUAGCAUCUGGUAUUCCUUUUCUCAAAAAAAAAAAAAAAAAAAAAGAGAUGCAAUGUAGUAUAGAAACAAAUAUAAAUUUUAUAAUAUUUUCAAGAAUAGCAUUUGGAUGAAAUAUUUUCUGAUUCCUUGAAUAUUUCAGAAUGAUUUUCUUUUUUUACCCAUGAGAGAUAAUCAGUCAUGGAACCAAAUCCUUGCAACACAAUUUUCCUCUUAAAAAUCUCAAAGGCGCCCUUCCUCAGGCAGCAUCUAGUGUAGUGGAAGAAAUAGGUAGGGUAGGUCUGCUUUUGUUCUCUUAUGGGAUUCCUGAUUUUGGUAAGCUCUUAUUUCUUUUUGUUUAUGCCUUAAACAUUUCAUUAAGGCACAUUUAACUGCAAUUCUCAUUUAAUUGGUUUCAUCUGAAGAUUGGGAAGGCCUAUAAACUGGCUUAUUUCAGUAAUUUUCCACUUCACAAACUCUUUUUAAAUAGUAUUUUAACAUUAUUUCUUUUUUAAAAAGAUGUAAUUUUAUUGUGAUAAAAACACAGCGUGAUAUCUAUCAUAACAAAUGUUAGGUGUACAAUGCAUGUACAGGCACAGCAUUGCACAGCACAUCUUUAGAGCUUACUCAUCUUACGAAACUGAAACUUCACACCUGUUGAUUAAUAAUUCCCCACUUCCCCUCCCUCCAGCCCCUGGUAACCGCCAUUCACAUUAUAUCUCCUCUGAAAAUUUUCUGUUUUCUUCUCAGGAAUACCGUAGCCUUUAGGUUGACUUGUCUUCCUCUGACUUUUGUGUCUCACCAUCUGUAGUAGUUUUCGUGUCUGUGUCUUUUUCCUACUGUGUCUGGAAUGCCACCUCAAGUGUGAUCUUCACAUCAUUAGUUCAGCUUCCAAAGUAUGGACUUUUCCUUAGUACCACAAACUUUACUCUUCCAUUUCAUUUUCUAAAAAUCUUGCCUACUAUUUUAUCCCACCUUGUUUUGUCCUUGUAGACAGUUGCCUAUAAAUGGUAGAUACUGUAUUUUUAUAUAAAUUUAUUUAUUUUUAUUUAUUUAUUUUUGGCUGUGUUGGGUCUUCACUGCGGUGCACGGGCUUCUCGUUGCGGUGGCUUCUCUUGUUGCGGAGCACAGGCUCUAGGCACACGGGCUUCAGUAGUUGCAGCAUACGGGCUCAGUAGUUGUGGCUCGCGGGCUCUAGAGCACAGGCUCAGUAGUUGUGGCACGUGGGCUCAGUAGUUGUGGCGCACGGGCCUAUAUGCUCCGCGGCAUGUGGUAUCUUCCCAGGCCAGGGCUCGAACCCGUGUCCCCUGCAUUGGCAGGCAGAUUCUUAACUACUGUGCCACCAGGGAAGUCCUAUAUGCUGUUUUUUGUUUGUUUGUUUUUUAAAAACUUGAGACAGAAUUGUCUUCUUAUUCCUGCAGUGGAUCUUUUUCACAGGAUGGGUCUUUUGCUGAGUCUUCCCAAUACUAUUCCCUUACCUUUAUUUUGUAGUGUUUCUUUACAUAUGCUCUGUAUUGAUUUGAAUUUUAUCUCUGGUGAACAUGAAGGUAUUCAACAGUUAGGUAUUAUAUGAUAAGCACCGUUCUAGGUGCCAAAGGUAUAAUAAAGAACCAAACGCACAAAACUCCUGCCUGCAUGGAGCUUACAUUUUAGGGGGAUAAACAAAUGAGUGGGAAAGGGUAAAUGGCUUCACUCGCCAUUAAUCUGAGAGCAGUAGAACGCUAUCUCAGAAUCACCUGGGUGGCAGGUGGGUGGAAUUCCCAGCCCAGUUCUCACUGUAUCCAAUCGCACAUUUAAUGAAAUGGUUAGACUGAAAUUGGAAGUAAAAACUCUAUAAAACAUACGGCAGCAACGAUACAGCCUUGGGAUCCUUCCAGCAGACCCUAAUGGAAAAGGGGAAAGGCAUUCUCCCUCCUUGUGCCACAGAACACAGCACCUUGGGUACCUGGAGGCUCUAGUGCCUUGGCGUCCAUGCCAGUCAGAAGAAUAACGGCCUCUUCUUUCUGGAGUCUGCAGUGGAGAGCCAGUCCACCAGUCUGCCUCCAGCGGAUGGCUGUCUUUUGCCAAAUACGCCUUAUUGCAAACAUCGUUCUUGGAAUUUUACUUGUCUUAUUUAUAGUCCCCAAAUAACUCCUUGAGGAAACUCUUAUUGUUUCCCUCACUCAGAUACAGAAACCAAGGUGAUAGGCAAUGGCCAAAUUAAUGCUUGGUUUCUUAACGAAUGAGAAUUCUCCUUACAGGUUCCAAGGUAAUAGAAAGAGGACAGGAUUAAGCUUGUUAAAAAUGGGACAGUGCAGAGGGCUGUCCUUUUGUAGCGUCUUAUAGUGAUUAUGCGUCACAUCUUUGAUGUACAGAAUAUUUAUAUCAACCAACUAAUGAUAUAGCUUCUCCUGUCAAGGAAUUCCCGGAUGCUUGGCUACUGUUAUUAAUGGUCUGUGAGUUACGUGACAACUUAAGGUAACAAAGGUACAACAAUGCGUAAUUAACACACGAGGAAGGUCAUUUAUCUUCCCUAGGAAUGGUAUGCCUGAUUCUCCAAACUAUUUAUGAAAUUCUUCCCUAGUGGUUGCAUUCCAAGUCUGUGACUUGGGAAUAGAUUCAAGUGCAGAGGAAAAGGUGGGUGAUAAAUCCUGAUACUAUUAAUUUAUUUCUCCCCCAAAUGAGCCGAUUUUCCAACAUAGCUCAUAAAAUUUCCAAACCCUUCAGGCCUUGGCUGACACGACACCUGCUGGGACACGGCACAGCGCCCCCCAAGUGACCUGGGGCCCCUGCUGCACUGCCCGAGGACACCUGGGGCGAACGUCACCCCCGCCGGCAGCCACGCUCCUCUGCUUGCCCGAUGCGCCCUUGGAAGCCCAGGGCCUGAGGCCUGUCCACCAUUUGUCUUGAGCCUGUAGCUCAAGUCCAGUACAUUUCAGAGGCAGAAGAAGAAGGAGAAAAGAUGAAAAGAAAGACAUGAAGUUAAGAGAAAGCUCAGCAGAUGGCAUCUGGCAAGGUGGCCCCCAAAAUGUGGGGGGCUAUCAAGGGACUCCUACAGCCGCCCCCUGUUUCCCUCCCUGACAAACAGGGCCUAGAAGCCGCUGAACGUUCAGAGUCCCCAGCAGUGUGUGCUGUCUCCCUGAAGAGAGGCAGGGUGUACAACCCUUCACCAGAGGAAGCAGUGAACCUCUCACAGGGAAGAAGGGAGGCAUGCAGCCUUUCACCUCACACAGUUCUGUCUGUCUGUCUGUCUGUCUGAAAAGGGGAGCUGUCUUUCCUCCUCAGAGCGCUUUCUCCCUGUCUGAGAAGCAAGGCCGGCCAUUCGGGGUUCCUCCUCAUAAAGGGCCCUCUCCUCUUCUGAGGCAGAGCGCCGCCAACCUGGCCUUUCUCCUCAGGGCGCGGUCUCGCUCUGAGGUGGAGAACCAGCCAGCGCACUUCCCCUCGGAGAGACCUGCCCCUCCUUCUGAAACUCUCAGCUGCCAUCCCCGCUGAGCUUAUCCUCGAGGAGCGCCCUCUCUGACUGAGGGGAGCCCGGCCCCCCCACCUCUCUCCUCGGGGAGCUCUCUUCCCUGUCCAUUGGGCGCCUCUCCUCCUAGAGGGCUGUCGAAGGAAAAUGGCCCAUCCUCUGGCGUUUCUUUCUUUUCUUUUUUUUUUAAAUUUAUUUAUUUAUUUAUUUUUGGCUGCUUUGGGUCUUCGUUGCUGCGUGCCAGCUUUCUCUAGUUGUGGCAAGCGGGGCUACUCUUCAUUGUGGUGCGCGUGCUUCUCAUCGCGGUGGCUUCUCUUGUUGCGGAGCAUGGGCUCUAGGUGCGCGGGCUUCAGUAGUUGUGGCAUGUGGGAUCAGUAGUUGUAGCACGCAGGCUCAGUAGUUGUGGCUCGCAGACUCUAGAGCACAGGCUCAGUAGUUGUGGCACACGGGUUUAGUGGCUCCGCGGCAUGUGGGAUCUUCCCGGACCAGGGCUCGAACCCGUGUCCCCUGCAUUGGCAGGUGGAUUCUUAACCACCGCGCCACCACGGAAGCCCUGGUGUUUCUAUUUUAUUGUGACCUCUGUCUGUCUGAGAACAAGAGCAGGCCACCAGGCCUUGUCUUCAAAGAGAGCUGCUGACCUCUCUGAGGUCAAGGCCCAGGAUCCCACGUUUCUCCUCAGGGAAUGCUCUCUCUGUCUGAAACGGGGUGUCGCCCACCUGGCGUCUCUCCUCGUACAGCACUAUCUUUCUGGGUACAAACGCGGGCCCCCGAGUGAGGUUUGCCCUCUAGACUACGCCUCCCUCUCUGACGUGAAGUGCAUCAUAUGACAUGUCUCCUCCGAGAGCGCUGUCUCUGUCUCUGAGGAGGAGGGCUAGCCUUCCUUCUCACAGAUUGUUAGUGGGUCUGUGGGAUCAUGUGGUGAACUGACCAGCGUUCACUGCAGCUCCUCUCUGUCUGCCACUCCUUCGGAGCCUUACUUAGUGGGGGGAUGUGGUGAUGGCCAGCGUCAUGUUACUGCAGGGAAAAGACAGUGAAGCUGCUGGAGAGGAUGCAACGGAACCACGAUUCUCUACCUGAGGCCAUGGUUCUCAGCUCUGGAUGCACAAUAGCUACGCUCAGGUCCCUUUACAGAAUUAGCUAAGGAUCCACCCGACUCAAUCAGUCAGAUCCCUACAGGUGGUGCCUUGGGCGCCAUAUGUAAUUCUUAAAUGCUGCCAAGAUGGCACUGAGAACCACAGGGCUAAAGGAGACAGUUUCUGAAGGGUGAAGACGCUCAUCUGGCUUCGAGACACGAGCUUGGGCUGGUAGCUGCCCCGUCUCUGCUUCCUCAGCUCCCUCCCUGGAACGACACAGUGACAACAAUAAAGUGAAAUGUGCAGCUUUUCCAGUUUUUCAUGGUGCUCGCCUGGAACUGCACCACACCUAGCAUCAAACAUCACACCUGAACAUCCUGUUCCGUGAAUCACCACGGCUCCGCCAACAGCUGGUCGGGCAAAGGUGAAGCCAGAGAGCCCCAGGCUGGUUCACUGAGAGACUUCACACCCCUGGUGCCUGGCUCGUCCUUCCCCUUUCCUCCCCGUGAUUCUGGCAUCUGCUCAUGUGGAGGGAAGACACCAUGAGUCUUGGGAAAGGAAUUUGCUGGAGAGGCAGCUCUUCAUGAAAAGAAAGAUGAAGAAGCACCGUGAUGACAGAAAGCUUUGUUCCAGGAUCUCCCACUCCAGCAAUUUUCCUCUCCAGGGGCCAGCGCCCACCCUGACCACCCCACGGAGGGCAAGGGUCUCGUGGGUACCCGGUCCUCCCUUCCCUUUGCUGCCCGCUUCCUGGUAGCAUAGUGAUGCACGCCUCUACAGGCCCCCAACCCCUGCUCUGGGAGCAGCUUUUCAGCGCUCCAUCCAACCAACUGCCGAAGCACCAUUUGAGAAAAGGGUACAAGCUCUGCUUUUUGACUAGAAACUUUCUGUCGACGUCUUCAUUUAAGACUAAAAAAAAAAUCAUCAUCAAAAUUUGAAUACUGUGUGUCACUGUCCUUGAAAAAUGUCCAAGUUAAACACUCUUCUAAGAAUUGCUUCAUUAACGAUGUUCUUGAUAUGGAAACUUAAUUUUUUUCACUUAUAUAAAAGCACAAAAUAUAAUAAAUAAUUAUGUCUAAAUAA
Balaenoptera ricei (Rice's whale) is the source of this 6677-nucleotide long non-coding RNA. RefSeq lists it as uncharacterized. The transcript has 2 exons. The record is from RefSeq and is a predicted model, not a curated record. NCBI's taxonomy places the organism in Eukaryota, Metazoa, Chordata, Mammalia, Artiodactyla, Balaenopteridae.